GUUUUCAUAGUUUAAAAUAAAACAUUGGUCUUGUAAAUCAAAAAUAAGAUUUUUCUUUGUUAACU
This 65-nucleotide transfer RNA is filed under the name Lerema accius. RNAcentral describes it as "tRNA-Thr". It matches the Rfam family "tRNA". Rfam says of the family: Transfer RNA (tRNA) molecules are approximately 80 nucleotides in length. Their secondary structure includes four short double-helical elements and three loops (D, anti-codon, and T loops). Further hydrogen bonds mediate the characteristic L-shaped molecular structure. tRNAs have two regions of fundamental functional importance: the anti-codon, which is responsible for specific mRNA codon recognition, and the 3' end, to which the tRNAs corresponding amino acid is attached (by aminoacyl-tRNA synthetases). tRNAs cope with the degeneracy of the genetic code in two manners: having more than one tRNA (with a specific anti-codon) for a particular amino acid; and 'wobble' base-pairing, i.e. permitting non-standard base-pairing at the 3rd anti-codon position. Lineage: Eukaryota; Metazoa; Arthropoda; Insecta; Lepidoptera; Hesperiidae. The record is from RNAcentral.